GACGAACGCUGGCGGCGUGCCUAAUACAUGCAAGUAGAACGCACAGUUUAUACCGUAGCUUGCUACACCAUAGACUGUGAGUUGCGAACGGGUGAGUAACGCGUAGGUAACCUGCCUGGUAGCGGGGGAUAACUAUUGGAAACGAUAGCUAAUACCGCAUAAUAUUAAUUAUUGCAUGAUAAUUAAUUGAAAGGUGCAAUUGCACCACUACCAGAUGGACCUGCGUUGUAUUAGCUAGUAGGAGAGGUAACGGCUCACCUAGGCGACGAUACAUAGCCGACCUGAGAGGGUGGUCGGCCACACUGGGACUGGGACACGGCCCAGACUCCUACGGGAGGCAGCAGUAGGGAAUCUUCGGCAAUGGACGAAAGUCUGACCGAGCAACGCCGCGGGAGUGAAGAAGGUUUUCGGAUCGUAAAGCUCUGUUGUAAGAGAAGAACGGGUGUGGGAGUGGAAAGUUCACACUGUGACGGUAUCUUACCAGAAAGGGACGGCUAACUACGUG
This 505-nucleotide ribosomal RNA is filed under the name uncultured bacterium. Its description in RNAcentral is "partial 16S ribosomal RNA". It matches the Rfam family "Bacterial small subunit ribosomal RNA", at positions 28 to 507 of the family's 1533-position model. The record is from RNAcentral.